CUAACCCUGAGGCGUGAUGACGAUGCACUACGGUGCAGAAGUAGUUGAUGCCCUGCUUCCAGGAAAAUCCUCUAAGCUCCAGGUAACAUUAAAUCGUACCCCAAACCGACACAGGUGGUCAGGUAGAGAAUACCAAGGCGCUUGAGAGAACUCGGGUGAAGGAACUAGGCAAAAUGGUGCCGUAACUUCGGGAGAAGGCACGCUGGCAUGUAGGUGAAGUCCCUCGCGGAUGGAGCUGAAGCCAGUCGAAGAUACCAGCUGGCUGCAACUGUUUAAUAAAAACACAGCACUGUGCAAACACGAAAGUGGACGUAUACGGUGUGACGCCUGCCCGGUGCUGGAAGGUUAAUUGAUGGGGUCAGCCGCAAGGCGAAGCUCUUGAUCGAAGCCCCAGUAAACGGCGGCCGUAACUAUAACGGUCCUAAGGUAGCGAAAUUCCUUGUCGGGUAAGUUCCGACCUGCACGAAUGGCGUAAUGAUGGCCAGGCUGUCUCCACCCGAGACUCAGUGAAAUUGAACUCGCUGUGAAGAUGCAGUGUACCCGCGGCAAGACGGAAAGACCCCGUGAACCUUUACUAUAGCUUGACACUGAACAUUGAGCCUUGAUGUGUAGGAUAGGUGGGAGGCUUUGAAGCGUGGACGCCAGUCUGCGUGGAGCCAUCCUUGAAAUACCACCCUUUAAUGUUUGAUGUUCUAACUCGGCCCCGUAAUCCGGGGUGAGGACAGUGUCUGGUGGGUAGUUUGACUGGGGCGGUCUCCUCCCAAAGAGUAACGGAGGAGCACGAAGGUUAGCUAAUCACGGUCGGACAUCGUGAGGUUAGUGCAAAGGCAUAAGCUAGCUUGACUGCGAGAGUGACGGCUCGAGCAGGUACGAAAGUAGGUCUUAGUGAUCCGGUGGUUCUGAAUGGAAGGGCCAUCGCUCAACGGAUAAAAGGUACUCCGGGGAUAACAGGCUGAUACCGCCCAAGAGUUCAUAUCGACGGCGGUGUUUGGCACCUCGAUGUCGGCUCAUCACAUCCUGGGGCUGAAGUAGGUCCCAAGGGUAUGGCUGUUCGCCAUUUAAAGUGGUACGCGAGCUGGGUUUAGAACGUCGUGAGACAGUUCGGUCCCUAUCUGCCGUGGGCGUUGGAAGAUUGAGAGGGGUUGCUCCUAGUACGAGAGGACCGGAGUGAACGCACCACUGGUGUUCGGGUUGUCAUGCCAAUGGCAUUGCCCGGUAGCUAAGUGCGGAAAAGAUAAGCGCUGAAAGCAUCUAAGCGCGAAACUUGCCUCAAGAUGAGUCUUCCCUGGGCCUUCAAGGCCCCUGAAGGAACGUUUAAGACUAAGACGUUGAUAGGCUGGGUGUGUAAGUGCAGCGAUGCAUUGAGCUAACCAGUACUAAUGAUCCGUGAGGCUUAACC
This 1399-nucleotide ribosomal RNA is filed under the name Serratia marcescens. Its description in RNAcentral is "bacterial LSU rRNA". It matches the Rfam family "Bacterial large subunit ribosomal RNA", at positions 1550 to 2925 of the family's 2925-position model. Lineage: Bacteria; Pseudomonadati; Pseudomonadota; Gammaproteobacteria; Enterobacterales; Yersiniaceae. The record is from RNAcentral.